UACGAAGGGGGCUAGCGUUGCUCGGAAUCACUGGGCGUAAAGGGUGCGUAGGCGGGUCUUUAAGUCAGGGGUGAAAUCCUGGAGCUCAACUCCAGAACUGCCUUUGAUACUGAAGAUCUUGAGUUCGGGAGAGGUGAAUGGAACUGCGAGUGUAGAGGUGAAAUUCGUAGAUAUUCGCAAGAACACCAGUGGCGAAGGCGGCUCACUGGCCCGAUACUGACGCUGAGGCACGAAAGCGUGGGGAGCAAACAGG
Molecule: ribosomal RNA, 253 nt
Filed under: uncultured bacterium
Lineage: Bacteria
Description: partial 16S ribosomal RNA
Rfam family: Bacterial small subunit ribosomal RNA
Source: RNAcentral